RNAcentral lists this non-coding RNA (274 nucleotides) under Paracerasibacillus soli. RNAcentral describes it as "Virgibacillus soli T-box sequence". It matches the Rfam family "T-box leader". From Rfam's summary of the family: Uncharged tRNA acts as the effector for transcription antitermination of genes in the T-box leader family. T-boxes are found upstream of many aminoacyl-tRNA synthetase genes and some amino acid biosynthetic genes usually in Gram-positive bacteria. The record is from RNAcentral. Lineage: Bacteria; Bacillati; Bacillota; Bacilli; Caryophanales; Bacillaceae.
AUAAAGACGAUGAAGAGAAAAAGUAAGAGAAUUGAUUUUAGAACAGAGAGCUUCGGUAGCUGAAAAGAAGUUAAAAUCAUCAUCUGAACAAUGGUCUCGGAGUUGCGGACUGAAAGUUAUUUAUUCGAGUAGGUUACGACGAGAUUUGGUACUCGUUAUCUAUACCACAGUAUAAAAGUCAGUUCCAUCGACUUUCGUACUUGCUGAGGCUGUUUUACGUGAGUAAAACAGUAAAUUAAGGUGGUACCACGUGAAUUCCAACCACGUCCUUAUC